This 717-nucleotide long non-coding RNA is filed under the name Capra hircus (goat). Its description in RNAcentral is "lncRNA (ENSCHIG00010020068.1)". The record is from RNAcentral. Lineage: Eukaryota; Metazoa; Chordata; Mammalia; Artiodactyla; Bovidae.
GUGAAAUGAAACCUAAGAACUCAGAGGAUACUUGGAGUGGAAGUGGGUCUUUGAAUGUCUCCCUCCAGAGCGGAUGCUGCAGGUGGGUCCGUGGCUCCAGGGCAGUGCAGAAAUUUCCAGGUAAACAUGAAUCAAAAGAAAUCCCUAAGGAACCAAAUAAGAAAUCUCCCAAAGCAAGAUGUUCCGUGUCCAAUUAUUAUUGUGGGAUCUACAGUAAUAAAUUCCUCUAAUAACGGGUUCUCCAAAGCCCUGGCAAGUUAAUAACAUUGCAGUAUAAUGCCGUGUGUUCUUAGAAGGUAUUUUACACAAGAACAACAUGCAGGUUUCUUUCUCUCCCUUGGCAUUCUGCAGUCUCUUUUAUUAUAUUUGUCACUUGGUUUAAAAACUAAAUUUAGAAAUGAAAAUUCAACACCUGCUUCAGCCUAGUUCUUGACAAUUAGCUCUGUUCCGUCGCUUGGAACUUCUGCAGGGAUAGCAGAAUCCCUUUGCAGUCCUGUGUUUUAUUUCCUCAAACUGAUGCCUCCUAGUGGCAACACCAAAGCCCAGAUGUUGACAUGACCUUUAACCUUUCACCUGGCAAAGUUAGGGUUUUUUUUUAAUCAAUAGAACUGAAAAAUUCAUCCAACUACUUUACUGUCUAUCUUUUAGGCUAUACUAUGUAUCCUUAUUUCGGAGAGGGCAAUGGCACCCCACUCCAGUACUCUUGCCUGGAAAAUC